This 84-nucleotide transfer RNA is filed under the name Faecalibacterium prausnitzii. RNAcentral's name for it is "tRNA-Leu". It matches the Rfam family "tRNA". Rfam says of the family: Transfer RNA (tRNA) molecules are approximately 80 nucleotides in length. The record is from RNAcentral. Lineage: Bacteria; Bacillati; Bacillota; Clostridia; Eubacteriales; Oscillospiraceae.
GCCGCUGUGGUGAAAUUGGCAGACACGAGGGACUUAAAAUCCCUUUCUGGAAACAGAGUACGGGUUCGACCCCCGUCGGCGGCA